Molecule: ribosomal RNA, 253 nt
Filed under: uncultured bacterium
Lineage: Bacteria
Description: partial 16S ribosomal RNA
Rfam family: Bacterial small subunit ribosomal RNA
Source: RNAcentral
UACGUAGGGUGCGAGCGUUAAUCGGAAUUACUGGGCGUAAAGCGUGCGCAGGCGGUUUUGUAAGUGAGAUGUGAAAUCCCCGGGCUCAACCUGGGAACUGCGUUUGAAACUACAAGGCUAGAGUGUAGCAGAGGGGGGUGGAAUUCCACGUGUAGCAGUGAAAUGCGUAGAGAUGUGGAGGAACGCCAAAAGCGAAGGCAGCUCUCUGGGUCCCUACCGACGCUGGGGUGCGAAAGCAUGGGGAGCGAACAGG